CAUUCGGCUUUUUUAGAAGCCAUCGUUCUUAUAUUGUGAAUCUGCA
This is a non-coding RNA of Lysinibacillus sp. F5, 46 nucleotides long. The record is from Rfam. NCBI's taxonomy places the organism in Bacteria, Bacillati, Bacillota, Bacilli, Caryophanales, Bacillaceae.